CCUACGGGGGGCAGCAGUGGGGGAUAUUGCACAAUGGGGGGAACCCUGAUGCAGCGACGCCGCGUGGGUGAAGGAGCGUUUCGGCACGUAAAGCCCUAUCAGCAGGGAAGAAGAUGACGGUACCUGACCAAGAAGCCCCGGCUAACUACGUGCCAGCAGCCGCGGUAAUACGUAGGGGGCAAGCGUUAUCCGGAUUUACUGGGUGUAAAGGGGGCGGAGGCGGCAAAUGAAGCCAGAAGUGAAAGCCCGGGGCCCAACCCCGGGGAUUGCUCUUGGAACGGUAAGGCUGGAGUACAGGGGGGGCAGGCGGAAUGCCUAGUGUAGCGGUGAAAUGCGUAGAUAUUAGGAGGAACACUGGUGGCGAAGGCGGCCUACUGGACUGUGACUGACGUUGAGGCUCGAAGGCGUGGGGAGCAAACAGGAUUAGAUACCCCAGUAGUC
RNAcentral lists this ribosomal RNA (441 nucleotides) under uncultured bacterium. RNAcentral's name for it is "partial 16S ribosomal RNA". It matches the Rfam family "Bacterial small subunit ribosomal RNA", at positions 338 to 795 of the family's 1533-position model. The record is from RNAcentral.